This 209-nucleotide long non-coding RNA is filed under the name Elaeis guineensis (African oil palm). Its description in RNAcentral is "long non-coding RNA (EGUI_LNC029019)". Lineage: Eukaryota; Viridiplantae; Streptophyta; Magnoliopsida; Arecales; Arecaceae. The record is from RNAcentral.
UCAAUGUCUUUGUCUCACCUUGCUUGAUUGAGAAGAGACUAUCGGAUGUCCGUGACGGCCUUCGAUUUGUACUGAAGUGGGCCACAAAAAAAUGCUCGAGCUGUUCGAAAGAGUUAAUGCUCUUCGAUUGAAGCCCAAAAUACCAGACUCGAGCAGCCUUCCGAAGAGUUGUCGGAAAACCAAUGCAUAAGAGGGCAUCGAUUAUCCCC